CGGGUACAACGAGAAGCGAACCUGCGAAGGCAAGCGGAUCCCUUAAAGCCGUUCUCAGUUCGGACUGUAGGCUGCAACUCGCCUACACGAAGCUGGAAUCGCUAGUAAUCGCGGAUCAGCACGCCGCGGUGAAUACGUUCCCGGGCCUUGUACACACCGCCCGUCACACCAUGGGAGCCGGUAAUACCCGAAGUCAGUAGUCCAACCUCGUGAGGACGCUGCCGAAGGUAGGAUUGGCGACUGGGGUGAAGUCGUAACAAGGUACC
This 266-nucleotide ribosomal RNA is filed under the name uncultured bacterium. RNAcentral describes it as "partial 16S ribosomal RNA". It matches the Rfam family "Bacterial small subunit ribosomal RNA", at positions 1234 to 1500 of the family's 1533-position model. The record is from RNAcentral.